GCUGAAACAGCUCAGUUGGGAGAGCGUUAGACUGAAGAUCUAAAGGUCCCGGGUUCGAACCCGUGUUUCGGCA
Molecule: transfer RNA, 73 nt
Filed under: Cordylochernes scorpioides
Lineage: Eukaryota; Metazoa; Arthropoda; Arachnida; Pseudoscorpiones; Chernetidae
Description: tRNA-Phe
Rfam family: tRNA
About the family: Transfer RNA (tRNA) molecules are approximately 80 nucleotides in length. Their secondary structure includes four short double-helical elements and three loops (D, anti-codon, and T loops).
Source: RNAcentral